CAUAUCUAAGCAAUAUCACUAUCGGCAGAUAUUUUUCAAUUUAUGCAGAAUAUUUUCAGUUUAUUCCAUUUGUAUUUACCGUUAAUUCUGUAGACGAUUGUGGAAUUUUCUUCCGCUUCUUUCAAUAAACAAUAUUGUGACAUCUGUCGUGAAAAGAGACGUUUUGAUUCCAAAAUUUAUGCAUUUGUCUUUUCCGAGAGGUGCAUUUUAUUAUCAACGAACGAAAUGGAAAGUCUGAGACUUGAAUAUGCCAUAAUUCUUUAAUCUUAUUUUACAGGAAUAGAGCAAAACACGUCCGUAGAGAACCAUUAUAUAUCUACUGACAUUGAUAGUAAAGCAAUUGAAUUUUGAACAGUAUUAACAGCCAGAAAAUGUUUCGUUGGGAAACGCAGUAUUUUAUUUCAUGUUAUUGAUUUUCAAGACAUUUUUUUAAAAUUCGGGUUCUAAACAUAUUUGGAAGAAAAAAACGUUAGGGAUCUGUUGAAAAAAAAAGCCUACAUAAAGAGAAAAACGGUAAAAAGAAUUAAAACUGAAGAUCUUUCACAGAAAGUGAAAUGGUAAACAAACAAGAUGGAAAGAAAGAGAGAGAGAGAAAGAGAGUGUGUGUGUGUGUGAAAGAGAGAGAAAGUGAAAUAGACAAUAGAGGAUAGAGAACGAAAGAGAGAAAUAAAGAGUGAGCAAGAAGAGGGAGAUAAAUAAGAAUAGGCAGGGGACGAUUAUUCCCUUUAUCUUAAAAGAGUUCCAUUAGAAUGCACAAUGGCCGGUAAUUUCUGGCAAAGUUCUCAUUAUCAGCAGUGGCUGCUGGAUCGACAAGACAUCCUCAGAGAAAGGCAAGCUGAUCUGAAAGUCCUCAGUGAAGAUGAAUAUCAGAAAAUCAUGGUUUUUUACUCAAAUUUUAUCCAAGCGUUAGGAGAACAACUGAAGAUGCGCCAACAAGUGAUAGCUUCAGCGACUGUGUAUUUCAAGAGAUUUUAUGCGAGGAAUUCCCUCCGGUCUAUUGAUCCAUGGUUAAUGGCUCCAACAUGUAUUUUUUUAGCUUCCAAAGUUGAGGAAUUUGGAGUAAUAUCAAAUAACAAGCUAAUGACUACUUGUCAAAAUGUUGUGAAAACCAAGUUCUCUCAUGCUUAUACCCAAGAAUAUCCUUAUCGUAUAAAUAGUGUUUUAGAGUGUGAGUUUUAUUUAUUAGAAAUGAUGGAUUGCUGUUUGGUUCUUUAUCAUCCGUAUCGACCUCUCAUACAAUAUUGUGCUGACCUUGGACAAGAUGACAACCUACUACCUGUAGCAUGGAGAAUAGUUAAUGAUAGUCUUAGAACUGACGUCUGUCUCAUGUACCCACCAUAUCUUAUAGCCCUAGCUUGUUUGCAUAUAGCAUGUGUAAUUCAAGACAAAGAUGGACGACAGUGGUUUGCAGAACUUUCAGUUGAUAUGGAUAAAGUUCUUGAAAUUACAAAACAAAUUUUAGCGUUUUAUGAACUGUGGAAAAAUUAUGAAGAAAAAAAGGAAAUUAUUGCAGUUCUUGUGAAAAUGCCAAAACCUAAGACCAGUCCAACCAGGCCUGCAUUACAAGGUCCAAAUGGGCAGGAAAACACUCAGUCCUUGCAGCCUUCCCAGCAAGCUCGUCAGAGUUAGGCAUCAAUGUUAUAAUCACCAUAGAGGAAAGACAGCUUGACUUAGAGCAAGUCUCAAACUACAUGUUACUACUCUCCCAUUCAAUGGUCCUCGUUAACUCAUUGAAACUUGUGUGCAACAACUGAGCUACUUGUUCAUCAUCGUCAUGAAGCAGACAUUUUGUACUCAGUGAUGACAUGCUGCAGAGAAGUGAGACAUUUAGACAGGUUUUAAACCUCUAAUGAACUUUCAAAACUAACGAAACUAAAUGGACUGCAUUGUAUGUUUGACCAAGUGACAUUUUAUCAGUCAGUGUCAACUCUGCAUUGAAUCAUUUAGAAAUGAAGCAAAAAUGCAACAGUAGUAACGGCGAGGAUUUUUAAUUCCCUCCUGGGGUCUUUGAGCAGUCUUACUCCUGAUGCAGCCAUCAUUCUCCUUCCUAAAGCUGGUUGCUUUAUCGUUUUAUUUAUUUAUUAUUUUUUUUAUUUCAAAGAAUUUGUAGAACUUAAAACUUAACAUACAGAAUCUUAUUGAAAACCAAAGCAGAACCUAUUAAAUUUUUUGAAUUGGUUUGACAAAAACAAUUUCUAAUUAGCAGAUAUUGAGUCAUUUAAAUGCAUCUGAACCCCUUCAUUAUGGAUAUUAAUUAAAAACUUACUGGAUUUGUAGUAGUUCUUUUAAAAUGUGAAAUACAGUAACAGAAUUUUCAAAAAGUUCCUCAAAUAUAAAAAUGCUUUAUAUUUUCUAUAAAUGUUGAUAGAUCAUCUCUAAAAUCACAAGAUUGUUUUUAUGUCUGAAUACCAAUGAGAAACUGCAAAAGAAAAUAAUCUUUAAGAACAAAGAUUAUCUGAAACUGCAACAAAUCUGUGGAUAUUUUAUUUUGACCUUUUCGGUUUUAGGUGUAAUGAUAAAAUCAGUAAUACACUUCGUUAAUAAGUUUUGCUUCAAAUUUUAAAUUGUCGUAAGUCAUUUGUAAUUAACAGCUGACUCUGUCCAGUGUCAAUAUUUAUCACAUCGUCUGAAGAUGAGAUUUUAGUUUCAUUUCAUCUCAAAAAGGGACCACAUUCAUUAGUUAAUAUUUUAUAAUUUUCUGUAUAUUCAGGAAAAAUAACACCAACACCAUUGUAAAUAUGUUUUUUUUUUUUUUUUCAUAAAUUCCUAUUUUUUUCCUAUUUUUCUUUCGUUGUUGGUAAUUUUCUUUGAUAAAUAAAGUGAUUAAUGAAAACUUC
Molecule: unclassified non-coding RNA, 2837 nt
Organism: Octopus bimaculoides (California two-spot octopus)
Lineage: Eukaryota; Metazoa; Mollusca; Cephalopoda; Octopoda; Octopodidae
Source: RefSeq, a predicted model, not a curated record